AAAAGUAUCACAGAAGAUGCGUUAUUUAACAGUUAAAUCACAUGCGUACCAUAUUCGUUUUUGUGUAUUCUAGAUCCUACUGGGUGUGUAUGAUGCCUUCAGACAUACUCCUUGGUGGCUAAACAGUUAUGUCAUUUCGCAGGAUCUGGUGCAGGGAGAAUGAUGUUUGGAGGACUUAUCCGCAUUCUGCUCAUGUCCCUACAACUAUACAUCGGUGUAAGUGAACUUUUCUGCCCGUCAGUCUCCGAACUCAAUACAGCUACACAGUUGACAUGUUUCACUCGAAGCAACGUCUUAAAAACCCAUACUUACUUAUCACCAACUCAGAUCCGGUUGUCACGUGCGUGGAUCCUGGAAAACUGUGUAUAACCCUUGACGAUAACUACAAUGCAUCGUUUCUCAAUGUUACACACAGUCUAUUCACUAUCUGCCGUGUCACCCAAUCCGAUGCUGGAAGAUGGACUUGCAGGCCUAAAGACUCGAAUCCGGAGAUAUGUGACUUGGCAGUAAUGAAGACACCAACGUGCAACAUCACAAGUUCAGAUGACACUGAUGUACUUGUCCAGUAUCAGGAACUGGCACUUACAGUGGACGUGCGAGACUACUACUGCUCCACCACCCACAGCGUCUCCCUCCAGACCGGGGAUGUGACAACCCCUGCUGAUGGAAGCUGACUCUGUACCAAGUGUCUCUGACAACACUUCAUCAGUAACACUAAAUGUGACGGACUCCCAUCUGGGUACAGUAGGGCUGGUGUUUAGAUGCCACAACAGUCAGCGGGGUCUUUCGUGUGGCGGUGUGAAUAAACUCGCACUUUUAAGUCCACCAACAUGCGACAUCACCAGUGACAAGGACACAGAGACGCUUACCCUACAGGAGGAAGUGACACUGACCGUAAACAUUACUGCGUAUUACGAUGUACGAGGCUCCUACUGUUCUGCAGAAUCAAACUUUACACUGCAGACCGGGGAUGUCAAACAACUUCUAAAUGUUGGUGAUCAAGGUCUUCAAUCAGUAACCUUUAAUGUGACCAAAACACACCUGGGUGGUGUAAGGCUGGUAUUCAACUGUCAAGACAAACACUGGAAUCUCAGCUGCGAUGGUGUAACAGAGCUCAAUAACAAAAUGAAAGCACGUGAAAUGAAGUAGCCACAGCUUCAAUUCCAAUCAUCAUUACUUCAGUAGUUGUCAGCCUCGUUCUAAUCGUCGUCGUCGUCAUCAUCAUCGUCGUUUUUGUCGUCAAAGAAAGGUAAAUCGAAUAAAACCACGCUCGUCAGUUAAGCCUUGUUCUCCUCCGUACAUAACUGUGGGGAACCCCUCAGUGCAGUGUAUGCUACCGUGGAGGUGAAUAACUCCAUACCACCAGCAUCGGGUCCAGGUGGAUCCCAAGAAGGUAUUUGUGAUCGAUGCAGGAGGCUAUGCCUGUGCCGGAGACGUCGUCACUAACGCCGAAAACACAUCUCCUUCGCCGCCAAGUGAUGAAUCUGACGAAUUAUCUGCAACAUCCGCAGGCAUGCCUAAGAAGGAGAUAGGUGUCAUUGUACAAAAGAUUGUCCCCAAGAUGAUCAGACAUGUAUUAAUGAACUGUAUGCCUCUGUAAAAAGCCGAAGGAUACGACACAAGAGAGUGAUGACACAGCAGUAUAAGCGCCCUUGUUAUAUUCCAUCAUCAUGUGCUGUAUGUUCUGUUUCAGAAUUUCAUUAAAUUCACUCUCCGUAAAUGCGUGCUUCUAUAUCCCAAGAAAAAGUGAAGGAGCAGUAUGUCGCAGUUCAAACGAGGUUAGAGAGAGGCAUGAUUUAAUGACUGUAUGGGUAUAGUUAGGGAUGAAACGCACCAUCGUCUAACGUAGACUUAGAAAUGCGUUAUGCUUUCCUUAUGAUCUUAAACAAUGUCAUUCAUCCUGGUUCACAUUACUGGGUCAUAUACAUAGGUCAUAUUGUUCCCGUUGUGUACAGAUGUACAUAUGAGUACAUACAUGUCAUAUAUUGCCAAUAUAGACUACACACUAACCAGAGAACCCUUAUGCUGUGUCCAGGGGUGACUUCAUGAAUCGCGUGGUCAGUUGUUCGCUGAACCCCAAAGCUGGGUAUUGUUGUUCGUAACACCAGAUAACUGGAUGGAUAACCUGUUUCAGAGUCAAGAAUGAACAACCUGCUCUUGGAAUAUCUGGAUUGUUGGUGAUUGAAGCCUUUAGCUCAAUUUUCGCCUUUGUAUCUAUUUUCUUAUCACCUUGCACAUCACCUUAUACUGUAAUGGAUACCAGUGAAACAAGAUAUGUAUGACGAUCUGAAAUGUGAUGGUCCUCACUUGCGUCCUAUAUGAAAGCAUAUACUAGUAAAUACAUACAGACGCAAUACAUACAAACGUAAGAGUUGGAGUUGAAUUUGGGGUUUUCUUCAAAACAGGACGCAUUCUUGGAAGCAAACAAUCUCCGUUGUUUACACAGUACAUAUUUUGGGUCACUCGUAUCAUACGUAGAGAACAGUAAACUAUUUCGUUGAGAUCUAAGAGGAUUGUUCCUUUAAAGUGUCUGCAACAAUUACUAGAACUUGUAGAAAGGGUUCAUUAAAUGGAUGGGGUAGCAGCUGUGGGGGUUUUGCUGAGAGUGUACCCCAGUGACACUGGUCGAUGCAUAUUCUUUGUCUCACUGACUGGGCAGACUAAUCCUCGAACAACGUGCCGCCGGGAUAUAGCUACACUUCUACCUAGCACUUUCCACUGUGAACUAUUUGAUUCCAGAAAGAGACGGAAUUCCCAGCACAAUGGACCUGGACGUCAAAACACAGGCUCCUAACAUAAGUAUCAGUGUUUCCUUAUUACUGCCUUGCCUGUGCUUCAACAUCAACUUUUUUAUAUUUGCAGAACUGUUUGAGAGAUGGGACAUGAUACUGCAAAUAUAAAGCAAUUUGGUAAAGUUCCAUGUGUGUCCUAGCAUGACAUGUUAUUUCUUUGUGUGUGUUAGAAGCAUAUGUAGUAGUAUUACAUACAGAGUUGAUUCAGACGAAGAAUACUCUGGGUGUCCAUAUCCAUGCGUUUGUCGUUUAGUGUUGACCUUUCCCUCUCUCCACCCUUUACGAAACCCUAGAUCAACCUUUGUAUGUUUACUGUCGCCUAUAGGGCAACUAUACCUCGGAAUAGAAUGGAUAAUGGUCCCUUCAAAUUUUGACAUUCGAAACGACUUCAUCAUUGUUGAUAUUUGUCACCCAACUCGAUGAAAUGUAUCCAAUGAAUUAUAUUGAAAGGUGUAAAUUAUUAAAUAAAUGGCAUUCUGCCAUAAUGUAAACUCCGAUUAUUGCAACAUGUUUAGAUAUUUCUUCAGAGUUUCCCGGAUAACUGUAAUAUUUGGGGAAGGCAGUUCACAGUCAAAUGCAUCAUUCUCACACCCAACGUUUUCCCUGUUCGAGAUGGUUAAUAUGUCCCUGUUUCUGAGGAUCUCUAUCCAAAUGCUUAUCCUGUUUGUGAUGAUUAAUAUGUCCCUGUUUUGGGGAAUCUCUAUCUCAAUGCUUUCCCUGUUCGAGAUGAUUAAUAUGUCUCUGUUUCUGAGAAUCUCUACCCAAAUGCUUAUCCUGUUUGUGAUGAUUAAUAUGUCUCUGUUUCUGAGAAUCUCUAUCCAAAUGCUUAUCCUGUUCGUGAUGAUUAAUAUGUCUCUGUUUCUGAGAAUCUCUAUCCAAAUGCUUAUCCUGUUUGUGUUGACUAACAUGUCUCGGUUUCGCGCAACCUACGCUGGUUGUAACAUGCAUUCUUAUGCACUGAGAAUACAGGACCUGUCUGACCUGGUUGAUUGUUUGCCACCCCCACCCGAAGCCGUGAAAGGUUAAUAAUAUAAUCAAUGACUGAAUUUGUUCGAGAUUCGAUAAUAUGCAAUCAUCUGUUAAAAUGUAAUGCGUCGAACUAAAAACUAUAUAUCAAUAAACUCGAGCUUUUAAAGGAAACUAGAAAUUGUACACUGCACUUCGCUUUUUGUUUUCAAUCACUUGUCAUAGUGCACUAUAUCCUAAACCAAACAUUGUAUAACAGAAUAGAACUCCCAGAACAUAAGGGUUCGAAGUGCAUGACAUUCUCAGCACAUACAGAAGAAAGUAUGGGGCUAUGACCUGGCGGUUCUCUCCCAGAUCGCAUCAUAACAAAAGAGUAUGAAGGUUGAUGCUUAUUAUUACCUUGCCUAGUUGAGGAAACGAGGACUGGUCAUUAUAUCUUGUCUGAGUUUCCAUGUUAACUUUAGACUUAUGUCAGUGCAAUGGACUUACACGUCAGUUCACCCCAAUCACUUCACCCCACAUUACAUUAUCUGAAGUAUGUUUAACCCUUCUUUUUAUUGUCUUGUUCUUUUAUAUAUCUUUGAACUCGUGCACACAUAACAUAUUCGACAGCAUGUCAUCAAACGUAACGAAUACAAUUAUUUGUUGCUAUCAAAUUACUUGUUUAAUCAUCAUAUUAUUUGAUCAGUUAUCAGGAAUAUUAAGCUCUAAAAGAAAGAACGAUAGCAUGUAAAGUUAUUUUAGAUGUAAUGAGGUAUCCAAAUUUCAAUAAUGGAAUGGUGAUAUACAUAUAUAAUUCUCUGAAAGAAUUGUCGAUUUUUUCAGUCAAUCAUAGAAUGAAAUAAGGUUGCAAUAAUACCAUCACCUGCAUGUGUCUUUUUAAAUACCAGCUUCUGGAAAGCUCGCAUUUAAAUAUCAACACACCCCUUUUACUGAUGAAUUACGAGUGUUGGGAAGACUAUGGUGUGUUUCUCUGUCUAAAUGUUGCGUACAUUUGUCAAAAUUUAUAAGCUAUUUGUUUACACAAUGUAUUUAAAAAAUUACAUGCAUGGUGUACGUUUCAAUGCUCUAUAUAAUAUUUCCAAUAAGCAAACUUUCCUUGCUGUUGGUGAUUUAAUAAUACAUUGCCUAUCGUAAACAGCAAACAGUAUCCUAUCCGUCGAUGUUACCUGUGUAUGACAUAUUUCAGACUCUGGUGUAAUACAAAAUAUUCCUUGGAAAAUGAUUUACUGGGAAAAAAAAGGAAAAUGUU
RNAcentral lists this long non-coding RNA (5010 nucleotides) under Haliotis rubra (blacklip abalone). RNAcentral describes it as "uncharacterized LOC124278186, transcript variant X2". Lineage: Eukaryota; Metazoa; Mollusca; Gastropoda; Lepetellida; Haliotidae. The record is from RNAcentral.